AAUGGCUUCAGAUGACUUCGUGAAAUUAUAAUCAGACGGACCCUCUCAGAUCCAAGUCACCCAAAAUGACGAAAAAAAAGCGGGAGGCGCCGAAAAGCGCGCUGUAAGUGUUUGCAUCCCAAUAUAAGACUUUUAGACUGCAGAUUAUCUAUACAGGUAUCGGAAAAUUAAGCCUACAGUUUUACAUACCUUUAUCUUCUUGCUUCUUCUCUUCUUCCAGCCUUUUCUUUUGUCGUUUUUCAUGGCCAGAAAGAUAUUUUCGUUUCUUGUCUAAAUAAAGAACUAAAUAAAAAACAAUUGUGCUUAUCAUGAUGCCUGAUAAAGAGCCCGGUAGGCCCAUUUCUUUUUAUUUAUUUAUUUUAUGUUACUUUUGUUGUAUGAUUUUUUUCACCCACUAUAUAGCAGUGACUCAAGGGGGUCCUCUGCUGGCCACGGGGCCCUUUGCAAUUGCAAGGGUCGCUUAGUGGCUUGGCCGGCUCUGUGCCCCAUUUAUGUUGGUCUGCCAAACCGCCAUUAAACACUAGAAGAAGAAGAAGCAGCACAAGCUGUGUGUGUGUGGAGGCUGCAUCGUGAGGAUUCUGUUCUCAACCCAGACAGCUUUGGUGUUUGCUGGAGUUAUUUUGGUUGAUUCCUCUAUAGUGUUAUUGUGUUAACACCUUUGUGCUAACUGGAGCCUGUGACAAGGAAUCUGGUUUGUUUUGAGACUUAUCUUGUUUGUCUGUAUUUGUUAUCUGUUAAACUUGUAUUGUUAAUUUAAGUGGGAAGGUUAGUAGAGAGGUGGGUGCCAUUUUGUUUAUGUUUUUCCUGUUUAUGCUAGUAAGGGAGUUGGCUUAUUCUUAUUGUAUUUUUGUUUCUUGUCUUUGUUAGUCUGGUUAGUUUCUCCCUAAUAGUUAGAGGGAUUUUUGUUUGUUAUGUUGGCCUUGCCCCCUCUCGAAGUCUUGACAUCCUCCCAUACCUGUAAAAUAAAGAAUUUGUUUUUGAUAUGACACACACAUCACCUUUUCUUAUUCUGUUAUGUGGUCCUAUAGCCCUAGAUUAACUGGGAACGUAACAAUGUAGAAAUUAUGUGUUUGUCAAACACAUCCAAAGAGUUUUCUACUCGUGUAAAAAAAAAGCACUUGUGUGCAUAAAUUAUCUAAAGAAACAUUGCUGUCAUUACGUUAUUUAAUUUUUUUUUAAGACAAUAGACAGUGUGCCUUGCUUUAGUGACACACAAUGUGUAAUCUUUUAAACAUGUUUAAAAUGGUAGGUGUAAUUAUUUUACUGAGUUUAAGUCAAAUGUAUAUUUGUUCAUUGAAAGUACACAUACUAUCUACAGGUUAGAUUAUUAAAUGAAAAAAACAUUUCUUACGUAACUGUUUUGGAGAUUCCCAAUUUUGAGAUGGGGUCACCUAGUCACAAUAUUUCCAAUCGUGUCUCACUGGGUAACUGUGAUAAUGAAUCAGGUAAAUUAAAGAUUGAUUUGGAUGAUUUACUUGUUGAAGGCCUCCAGAAAGACUGGAGCAAGAAAGUUAAACGACAAAAGAAGAAAGACAAGCGUCGAGAGAAACAGAAGAGGAGAUCAACCGACGGACCAGCAGAAAAUCGUUUCUAAGAUAAGAAGAAUAAUUCGACUGGUGCGAAGGCAUGAAUAAGAAGAUAAUAAAAAUGAUGAGAGAAAUCAUUAACUGUAUUGAGUUGGUUAAUGUUGAUUUGGAGUUACAGUCUCUGGCAAAUGGAAUCGAGGCCUUGAGAUUGCAAACCUCUGUUGCAAGACCAGAAAACCCUUAAAAGGUAACAAUGAGAUGUAUGAUUUGUUAGACAUCAACUCUAAAGGGCAGUAAUAAGAAAUGUAUGAUGUUAACAUUUGCUCAACAGUUGAGACUGUCACGUACGCCAGUUGAGACUGUCACGUAUGCUUGCUUUUUGCUAAGAUAACAAUGAGUGUGCAAGGAAAUGCAUCUUGCAAUCUGGAUUGCAGGAUGGACUUUCUUUCUAAAAAUUGUAUUGUAAUGUGUUUAAUCUGAUUAACACAGGAAGGAGGAUGCUGUGCAGUUUAGCAAUAGUCACUUACUUAGCCUACGCCUUAAGAUUUUGUAACAGCUUAAAGAAAAGAUUAAUUUGCUUUAAUGGAAAGAAGAUAGAGCAGCAAUUACUUAAUGUAUGUGUGCAGAAGAGGGGUUGCCAAAAAAGGAAAUGUUAACUUCCUGUAUCCAUAGCAACCUGACUGUUAGUGUGUGCGUGCAAGCGGAUGUGUUAAUGUGUUUUACCAAAAGGAGGCAUCCGGAAGAAAUGAUGUAUUGUUGUUGGGACUAUAUAAUGUUAUGGUUUGGACACAUCCCCUGCCGCAUCUCGGGGUGAAGACUUACGCUUUUACUUUUGUUUUUUACUUGUUAAUAUUUUGCUUAUGAGUUAGUGUUUAAAAUAAAGCGAAGCCAUGUACAAUGGUGAUGCGUAAAAACCUUUAAACAAGUCUCUGAGUAAUUUAUUACGAGUAAAGUUAUUAUUCUAGUUUGUUCCUGAUUCUGUAUUGCCAAGCUCUGCAGAGGCAAAGACUCAACUGAGCUGAUCUGGUUCUGGUGGGAAGAAGUGCAGAAUUCUCCAUUGCCACAGAGAAGACAUCAAAGGAAGAACCCAAACACCUCCUGACUGGAAGGUACAGGCCAGAAAGGAACUCCAAAGAAACCCCCACAGCUCUGUUUACAGUUUUCUGGUUCGGUUCCGUUCCCUGGAGCCCAGUUCUGAUAGCACACGGUCUCUCCGCUCACCCAGUACCAGAUGUUCAUGAUGCAGUAGUUGUGUAAACCCAACCACAGCUCCGCAGUAGACGCCAGGUGUACCACGUUCAUCACACGACGCUGAAUCUCUUGUGAAUGAACCGAGACCAGAUCCACAUGAUUCUGUCUGCAGUAUCUCAGAGCUUCAGACCACGUCAGAUUCUCUCUGAUCACAAUCAGUUUAUCUGGAAACCAAACAGAGCACAAGCAGAAACUAGAGAGAGACUGAUCAAAAACAACAUCAGAACAAACACUGUGGAUGAAUUUGUCAUGUCAGACAUGUAGCGGGAACUUUAAGAGAUCUGGAGGAGAUGAUGGGUUGAGUGUGUUUUGUGAGGAUCUACUCACCUUCAUGACACACAAAAGGAUAUCGAUUGUUACAAUACUCAUCAUUCCAUCGUCCCUGAGCGCUCUUUUCAACAUGUGUACAGUUUUCAUCACCUCCAGCAUUAUUAGGUUCACCAGUGUUCCAGUAACUGAAAGAGUAGUUACUCUGAUCUGACCACUGCCAUGAGUCUCUGAACAGACCGAUCCAGACAUCUGAUCCAGAUGAGUUAUUAUCACUAAUGAUCUUCUUAAUCUUCUCAUUCUCAUCCUGGUUUCUCACACUGACCAGAUCAGUGUGAUUCUGUCUGCAGUAACUCUGAGCGUUUCUCCAAUUCAUCUUCUGAUUGACAAAGAUGAGUCCUGUGUUCUCUUUAAUAAAGACAAAUGGAAAAAGAUUCAUGAAUCAGUUUGUUCAUUAUUCUUUCGCUGCUUUCUGGUUUGGAUGUGAACAGGAGCAUCAGUGGAAACAUCAGAAACACGUCACUCAAAGACUUGAGCUGCUUCUUCAGCUGGUGAUUUACUGAAUAUGAACUAUAUUUUCAGGAUUAUAUUAAAGAUCUAACAUGAAGUAA
This is a long non-coding RNA of Carassius auratus (goldfish), 3655 nucleotides long. RefSeq lists it as uncharacterized. NCBI's taxonomy places the organism in Eukaryota, Metazoa, Chordata, Actinopteri, Cypriniformes, Cyprinidae. The transcript is spliced from 4 exons. The record is from RefSeq and is a predicted model, not a curated record.